GUUACGUAAUCGCGCUCCAUCGGGCGGUGGGAUUAGGAUCUAUCCACACUUGAACGUAUUCUAGGUAGUGAAGUUUUGUGCGCGCUAUUCCUUGUUCGAGAAGGGUUUGGGAAUGGCGAGCGCCAGCGAGCUCGAUCCGACGCCCCGGUGCUAGCUCUUGGAAUCGGGAGCGGCGAGGCGCUCUACAUUCCGCGGCGCGGCGGCGGUGGCGGCGUCGGCGGCGGCGCGGGGAUUUCAUCCGGUACGUCUUCCUGCCCGCAUUCUCGGGCUACCGCGCAUAAAUGCUGACGCUCCGGCUGUGGAUUUUGGAGGCAGGCGAUUUCUUUUAUCCCCGGAGCGCUGGCAUCGCGUGUUUUGUUGCUUGUGCGGGGUCCAACGUCGCUAGCGCGGCCUCUCUUUUUGCCAGAAACAAUGCUGUCCCCCUCGUGACAGAGCCAGGUACACAAAUUGGAGAUCUAAAUUUUAGAUUUUAGCUUGCAAUGGCUGGGGGCGAUUAAAGAAUCCUUCGCCAAAGUCAAGUUGGGAGGGAGAUAAAAUAUAUGGACAGCUUUCCUCGGAGACGAGCGCACAGGCUACAAGCAUCAUCCAAUCUUUUUCCGUGGCUCCUUCGACGAAGAAGCACAGCGCAGAAGUUUGGUGGGUUUGGGAAUCUAGAACACUUNNNN
Molecule: long non-coding RNA, 665 nt
Filed under: Selaginella moellendorffii
Lineage: Eukaryota; Viridiplantae; Streptophyta; Lycopodiopsida; Selaginellales; Selaginellaceae
Description: long non-coding RNA (SMOE_LNC001050)
Source: RNAcentral